GACAGAGGGUGCAAACGUUGCUCGGAAUCACUGGGCGUAAAGGGCGUGUAGGCGGGAAGAUAAGUCGGGCGUGAAAUCCCUGGGCUCAACCCAGGAACUGCACUCGAAACUGUUUUUCUUGAGUAUCGGAGAGGAAAGCGGAAUUCCUGGUGUAGAGGUGAAAUUCGUAGAUAUCAGGAGGAACACCAGCGGCGAAGGCUGCUUUCUGGACGAUAACUGACGCUGAGACGCGAAAGCGUGGGGAGCAAACGGG
RNAcentral lists this ribosomal RNA (253 nucleotides) under uncultured bacterium. RNAcentral's name for it is "partial 16S ribosomal RNA". It matches the Rfam family "Bacterial small subunit ribosomal RNA", at positions 524 to 776 of the family's 1533-position model. The record is from RNAcentral.